AAACACUAUCGUGGAGCAGAUGGUGGUCAACCUGCAGUUAUCAGAGUGAGAAAAUAAUGUUCAUUCUUUCCAUUAGAUGGAGUAAUCUUGUAUUUGUUGGCAAAUAAAUAAAAUCGAGAGAUGUAGUUUAAUUUUUUUACUCCUAAAGUUUUUUUUGCUCCUGAAGGUCACCCACCAUCUACGCCGACUAAGCCUAAAAAUUCGCCAUAAAAAUAUAUCUUUCUGGAACGCCCAACACGCCGUGAAUUCUCGCCCUAUAUUCGCUCUAAUAAAACAGAGUUCUAAUAAAACUUAACGCUGUACAAUCUUACUACAGGCGUAACUGGGCGGAGGACUGGCGCUAGUGAAUGCACAUGUGCAACGACGAUUCAUCUGAACAGCGGUUAACUAAUAUGGAAAUCACCAUUCGUUGCUUGAACGAAAUUUGAAGGAAAGAAUCCAACCUG
This is a non-coding RNA of Paramuricea clavata, 446 nucleotides long. The record is from the annotation of a GenBank genome assembly. Lineage: Eukaryota; Metazoa; Cnidaria; Anthozoa; Malacalcyonacea; Plexauridae.